This 503-nucleotide ribosomal RNA is filed under the name uncultured bacterium. RNAcentral describes it as "partial 16S ribosomal RNA". It matches the Rfam family "Bacterial small subunit ribosomal RNA", at positions 30 to 523 of the family's 1533-position model. The record is from RNAcentral.
AUUGAACGCUGGCGGCAGGCUUAACACAUGCAAGUCGGGCGGGGUGAUGGUGCUUGCACUAUCACUUAGCGGCGGACGGGUGAGUAAUGCUUAGGAAUCUGCCUAUUAGUGGGGGACAACAUCUCGAAAGGGAUGCUAAUACCGCAUACGUCCUACGGGAGAAAGCAGGGGAUCACUUGUGACCUUGCGCUAAUAGAUGAGCCUAAGUCGGAUUAGCUAGUUGGUGGGGUAAAGGCCUACCAAGGCGACGAUCUGUAGCGGGUCUGAGAGGAUGAUCCGCCAGACUGGGACUGAGACACGGGCCAGACUCCUACGGGAGGCAGCAGUGGGGAAUAUUGGACAAUGGGGGGAACCCUGAUCCAGCCAUGCCGCGUGUGUGAAGAAGGCCUUAUGGUUGUAAAGCACUUUAAGCGAGGAGGAGGCUCUUUUGGUUAAUACCCAAGGUGAGUGGACGUUACUCGCAGAAUAAGCACCGGCUAACUCCGUGCCAGCAGCCGCCGUAA